UGGGGAAUUUUGGACAAUGGGCGAAAGCCUGAUCCAGCAAUGCCGCGUGUGUGAAGAAGGCCUUCGGGUUGUAAAGCACUUUUGUCCGGAAAGAAAUCCUUGGCUCUAAAUACAGUCGGGGGAUGACGGUACCGGAAGAAUAAAGCACCGGCUAACUACGUGCCAGCAGCCGCGGUAAUACGUAGGGUGCAAGCGUUAAUCGGAAUUACUGGGCGUAAAGCGUGCGCAGGCGGUUUGCUAAGACCGAUGUGAAAUCCCCGGGCUCAACCUGGGAACUGCAUUGGUGACUGGCAGGCUAGAGUAUGGCAGAGGGGGGUAGAAUUCCACGUGUAGCAAGUGAAAAUGCGUAGAGAUGUGGAGGAAUACCGAUGGCGAAGGCAGCCCCCUGGCCAAGUACUGACGCUCAUGCACGAAAAGCGUGGGGAGCAAAACAGGAUUAGAUACCCUGGUAGUCCACGCCCUAAAACGAUGUCAACU
RNAcentral lists this ribosomal RNA (477 nucleotides) under uncultured bacterium. Its description in RNAcentral is "partial 16S ribosomal RNA". It matches the Rfam family "Bacterial small subunit ribosomal RNA", at positions 355 to 817 of the family's 1533-position model. The record is from RNAcentral.